CGGUGCAUGGGGCCUGGCCCCACCAGCGGGCAUUGGCCCAGAGCCACGGCCGGGGGGCCAUCUAGCUGGAGAGAGAAGGGAUAGGUGACCCGAUCGGAGCCCAGCCCGGCCCGGCCGCCCUCGGCAGGAGGCGAGAGACAGCGAACGGAGUCGGGGAGGGAAUCUAGGGAGAUCCUAGAUGGGAUCUGGUUAGAGGCCCGGACCGAGGGCUGUCUGGUAGACGUGGGGCUGAGUGGAGGGUGUCUGCCGUCUGGAACCCCAAAGACAUAGGGUGAUCCCUAAAUCCGGACGGGGAGACGGGGCCGGGGUUGCAGAGGGGCCAGCAGGCUUGAUACAGGGGAAAAAAGAGGGGUCUUACAUGGGAAGGUGCAUCCGUGGCCCGGGGACUGGGGACCCCCGUGACAGCUGGAAGGAGAAGAGAGAGGCGUAGGGCGCGUGGAGGGACGGAGGAGGGCGGUGGCGCGGCGUGCCCCAGCCUGGACCCCUCGCCCUCCCCCAGGUGUCCACACACGCCGCGGGCCCACCUCCCCCCGUCGCCCUCGGGAAAGGGGACGGAUGGGGGACUCGCCUGCGUCUCCCCCGGCCUGCAGCAGCUCCAUCCGCUCCUGCAGCUGCCGGACGCGCGCCUCCAGGUCUCGGUUCCGGGCCUCGGCCUCACGGAGCUGACUGCGGGGAGGGAAAGACCGUGAGCCCUUCCGGACCGGACCUGAGCGAGACGGGCUGCCGACGGUAGCGACCAGCCCCGGCGCCCCGGCCCCGACCUGGCAAAGCUCUGGUUGGCUGUGCGGAUGGCCUCCAGCUCCCGGCUCAGGCUCUGCCGUGUAAGCACCUCCUCCUCCAGGGCCUCCUGGAGCUCCCGCAGCGUCACCUG
This 871-nucleotide long non-coding RNA is filed under the name Lynx pardinus (Iberian lynx). Lineage: Eukaryota; Metazoa; Chordata; Mammalia; Carnivora; Felidae. The record is from RNAcentral.